Molecule: unclassified non-coding RNA, 226 nt
Filed under: Hevea brasiliensis (rubber tree)
Lineage: Eukaryota; Viridiplantae; Streptophyta; Magnoliopsida; Malpighiales; Euphorbiaceae
Source: RNAcentral
AAUGUUCCUUGAGACCUGCAAGAAACCCGCAAUCAUAUCAAUUGGUAGAAACUAUAAGAGGCUUUCAGAAGGCAAAGAAACGUUUCCGAUGUGGGUAUGGGCUCAAAUUAUGAAUAAAAAAGUGUUCUUAAUGGUACAUUCAACCAUUGUGAAAUUGCUCAAUUGGCAAAUCAAGCAGUACUUGUCAGUUCUCUAAAAGGUCUCAGCUUUUCAGUUUUCACAUGAA